UACGUAGGGUGCGAGCGUUAAUCGGAAUUACUGGGCGUAAAGCGUGCGCAGGCGGUGAUGUAAGACCGAUGUGAAAUCCCCGGGCUUAACCUGGGAACUGCAUUUGUGACUGCAUCGCUGGAGUGCGGCAGAGGGGGGAUGGAAUUCCGCGUGUAGCAGUGAAAUGCGUAGAUAUGCGGAGGAACACCGAUGGCGAAGGCAAUCCCCCUGGGCCUGCACUGACGCUCAUGCACGAAAGCGUGGGGGAGCAAACAGG
This 256-nucleotide ribosomal RNA is filed under the name uncultured bacterium. RNAcentral describes it as "partial 16S ribosomal RNA". It matches the Rfam family "Bacterial small subunit ribosomal RNA", at positions 524 to 776 of the family's 1533-position model. The record is from RNAcentral.